Non-coding RNA from Myriangium duriaei CBS 260.36, 93 nucleotides. The record is from the annotation of a GenBank genome assembly. Lineage: Eukaryota; Fungi; Ascomycota; Dothideomycetes; Myriangiales; Myriangiaceae.
GGUCUUGUGGCCCAAUGGUCAAGGCGCCUGACUACGAAACUUGGUUCCCAAGUUGAUAUCAGGAGAUUGCAGGUUCGAAUCCUGCCAAGAUCA